UACGUAGGCAGCAAGCGUUGUUCGGAGUUACUGGGCGUAAAGAGUGCGUAGGUGGUGCCCUAAGUCUGUUGUGAAAUCUCCCGGCUUAACUGGGAGGGUGCGGUGGAAACUGGGGUGCUUGAGUGUGGGAGAGGUAAGCGGAAUUCCUGGUGUAGCGGUGAAAUGCGUAGAUAUCAGGAGGAACACCGGUGGUGUAGACGGCUUACUGGACCACGACUGACACUGAGGCACGAAAGCGUGGGUAGCAAGCAGG
This 253-nucleotide ribosomal RNA is filed under the name uncultured bacterium. RNAcentral describes it as "partial 16S ribosomal RNA". It matches the Rfam family "Bacterial small subunit ribosomal RNA", at positions 524 to 776 of the family's 1533-position model. The record is from RNAcentral.